This 870-nucleotide ribosomal RNA is filed under the name Maribacter sp. RNAcentral's name for it is "bacterial SSU rRNA". It matches the Rfam family "Bacterial small subunit ribosomal RNA", at positions 14 to 873 of the family's 1533-position model. The record is from RNAcentral. Lineage: Bacteria; Pseudomonadati; Bacteroidota; Flavobacteriia; Flavobacteriales; Flavobacteriaceae.
GGAUUCUGGCUCAGGAUGAACGCUAGCGGCAGGCCUAACACAUGCAAGUCGAGGGGCAGCGGGGAAAAGCUUGCUUUUCCGCCGGCGACCGGCGCACGGGUGCGCACCGCGUAUGGAACCUGCCUUGUACAGGGGAAUAGCCUUUGGAAACGAAGAUUAAUGCCCCAUGGUACCACGACCCGGCAUCGGGAUGUGGUUAAAGCCCUCGGGCGGUACAAGAUGGCCAUGCGUCCCAUUAGCUUGUUGGUAAGGUAACGGCUUACCAAGGCUACGAUGGGUAGGGGCCCUGAGAGGGGGAUCCCCCACACUGGUACUGAGACACGGACCAGACUCCUACGGGAGGCAGCAGUGAGGAAUAUUGGACAAUGGAGGAGACUCUGAUCCAGCCAUGCCGCGUGCAGGAAGAAUGCCCUAUGGGUAGUAAACUGCUUUUAUACGGGAAGAAAAAGGGCUACGUGUAGCCUACUGACGGUACCGUAAGAAUAAGGACCGGCUAACUCCGUGCCAGCAGCCGCGGUAAUACGGAGGGUCCGAGCGUUAUCCGGAAUUAUUGGGUUUAAAGGGUCCGUAGGCGGGCCGAUAAGUCAGGGGUGAAAGUCUGCCGCUCAACGGUAGAACUGCCUUUGAUACUGUCGGUCUUGAGUUAUAGUGAAGUUGCCGGAAUAUGUAGUGUAGCGGUGAAAUGCAUAGAUAUUACAUAGAACACCGAUUGCGAAGGCAGGUGACUAACUAUAUACUGACGCUGAUGGACGAAAGCGUGGGGAGCGAACAGGAUUAGAUACCCUGGUAGUCCACGCCGUAAACGAUGGAUACUAGCUGUCCGGGGCCUUGAGUUCUGGGCGGCCAAGCGAAAGUGAUAAGUAUCCCACC